RNAcentral lists this long non-coding RNA (978 nucleotides) under Monodelphis domestica (gray short-tailed opossum). Its description in RNAcentral is "lncRNA (ENSMODG00000032536.2)". The record is from RNAcentral. Lineage: Eukaryota; Metazoa; Chordata; Mammalia; Didelphimorphia; Didelphidae.
CAGGGACCCUGCUGCCCGCACAUUGUACUAAUAUUAGUUACCUAUCAGCAGCCCUCCCCUUAUGAGGGGCGAUGGAUUUACCCUGUUGCCUGGAGACCAGACUCAAACAGAGACCCAGAGAGAGCACCGGGCGCUGGCUCCAGAGGGGUUAAGAACGAGUCCUGGAGCAGAUAACUCCUGGAAUGGAUAAUGGAGCCGAGUAAUCCCAGGAAAGUGAAGCCUCAGCUCGAGCUGGGGGGAGAUGACAGGAAGAAGGCAGCGUCUGUGGACCCCCUCCCCAGAUUUGGAGCUGUGGAAGCAGAAACAAGAGAAGAUACACAGACCCACAAGACUCCUGAGUCUUGGUCUCAAGACUCUAUGGAAGGAGUGAAUAUGGAAAUUGAACAUUGUUUGAACCUAAUCCUGAUUGGAGCACUGAGCCACCUGUACUUGCUGUUCAGAGACCCCAACCAAUGACCUAAGUCCAUGUUGGCAAACCUAUGGCACGGAGGAGGCUGUUCCCCUUGACUUCUCUACACACAUCUGAAGACAUCUCUCUCAUCACCUGCCCCUCUGCCCAGCAGCCCAAUGAUAGUACUUCCUCCCUCCCCUGUCUGGGGUAAGGCAGGAGGUUUACAGGUGGAGUGAAGGUUGCAAUUUGGGCACUCAGUCUCUAAAAGGUUCACCAUCACUGACCUAACUUAUGUCUAAAGAUAAAUGUAAAGAGUUUUCUCAUAACUGUGAAUCUAAGUAACUCAUAUAUCUUAUAUGAAAGGUAGCCCCAUUCUAAUCAAAUAGUUAUUGUUUCUAUGUUCUUUUGAUUGUGUAGAACUACUUGGCAGGAAUUAUGAGACAUUUCAGUCCAUAUCACUAACACCAAAAGUCUAGUCCAAAGAGUCAAUGAGCCAACGAUAAAAGAAGGAGCAGGUGUUAUUCCUUAACCACUAUAAAGAAUAUGUGAAAGAUCAUUAAAAAAGGCAAAUGUUUUGCCUUUGAAGA